CCUACGGGUGGCAGCAGUCGAGAAUCAUUCACAAUGGGGGAAACCCUGAUGGUGCGACGCCGCGUGGGGGAAUGAAGGUCUUCGGAUUGUAAACCCCUGUCAUGUGGGAGCAAAUUAAAAAGAUAGUACCACAAGAGGAAGAGACGGCUAACUCUGUGCCAGCAGCCGCGGUAAUACAGAGGUCUCAAGCGUUGUUCGGAAUCACUGGGCGUAAAGCGUGCGUAGGCUGUUUCGUAAGUCGUGUGUGAAAGGCGCGGGCUCAACCCGCGGACGGCACAUGAUACUGCGAGACUAGAGUAAGGGAGGGGGAACGGGAAUUCUCGGUGUAGCAGUGAGAUGCGUAGAUAUCGGGAGGAACACUCGUGGCGAAGGCGGGUUCCUGGACAUUAACUGACGCUGAGGAACGAAGGCCAGGGGAGCGAAAGGGAUUAGAUACCCCUGUAGUC
This 446-nucleotide ribosomal RNA is filed under the name uncultured bacterium. RNAcentral's name for it is "partial 16S ribosomal RNA". It matches the Rfam family "Bacterial small subunit ribosomal RNA", at positions 338 to 795 of the family's 1533-position model. The record is from RNAcentral.